Molecule: non-coding RNA, 149 nt
Organism: Caenorhabditis elegans
Lineage: Eukaryota; Metazoa; Nematoda; Chromadorea; Rhabditida; Rhabditidae
Source: Ensembl
AUUGGCAUUAAUAUCCAUUGAGAUAUGGAACGCGCGAGACUUUUGUAUAUGUUUGAGAAACAACUAAUCGGCUGAGUGCGCGAAAACAGUAGUCGAGAGACGGACUUUUACCUCCGUCUCCAUGACCCUUCCCUCUUCCCAUGUCCCAU